GCCUCGGUAGCUCAGUCGGUAGAGCAGAGGACUGAAAAUCCUCGUGUCGGUGGUUCGAUUCCGCCUCUGGGCACCA
This 76-nucleotide transfer RNA is filed under the name Eubacteriaceae bacterium. RNAcentral's name for it is "tRNA-Phe". It matches the Rfam family "tRNA". From Rfam's summary of the family: Transfer RNA (tRNA) molecules are approximately 80 nucleotides in length. Their secondary structure includes four short double-helical elements and three loops (D, anti-codon, and T loops). The record is from RNAcentral. Lineage: Bacteria; Bacillati; Bacillota; Clostridia; Eubacteriales; Eubacteriaceae.